GUCACCCAGUGUCACCCCCUGUGUCACCCAGUGUCACCUGAUGUCACCCAGUGUCACCCUGUGUCACCCAGUGUCACCCAGUGUCACCCAGUGUCACCCUGUGUCACCCCAGUCCAUCCCAGUCCAUCCCAGUUCCAUCCCAGUCCAUCCCAGUCCAUCCCAGUAUCCCCAGUUUCUCACCCAGGCUCUUGAGGAGCAGCACCAGUGACCCCAGGUCGGCUCUCUGGAUCUCCGGCACCGCCGUCUCCAGUGCUCCCAGUCCAUCCCAUCCCUCCCAGUCCCUCCCAGUCCAUCCCAGUAUCCCCAGUUUCUCACCCAGGCUCUUGAGGAGCAGCACCAGUGACCCCAGGUCGGCUCUCUGGAUCUCCGGCACCGCCGUCUCCAGUGCUCCCAGUCCAUCCCAGUCCAUCCCAGUCCAUCCCAGUGUGUCCCCAGUCCAUCCCAGUCCAUCCCAGUCCAUCCCAGUCCAUCCCAGUCCAUCCCAGUAUCCCCAGUUUCUCACCCAGGCUCUUGAGGAGCAGCACCAGUGACCCCAGGUCGGCUCUCUGGAUCUCCGGCACCGCCGUCUCCAGUGCUCCCAGUCCAUCCCAGUCCAUCCCAGUCCCUCCCAGUCCCUCCCAGUCCAUCCCAGUCCAUCCCAGUCCAUCCCAGUUUCUCACCCAGGCUCUUGAGGAGCAGCACCAGUGACCCCAGGUCGGCUCUCUGGAUCUCCGGCACCGCCGUCUCCAGUGCUCCCAGUCCAUCCCAGUCCAUCCCAGUCCCUCCCAGUCCCUCCCAGUCCAUCCCAG
Long non-coding RNA from Poecile atricapillus (Black-capped chickadee), 788 nucleotides. RefSeq lists it as uncharacterized. The transcript has 3 exons. The record is from RefSeq and is a predicted model, not a curated record. NCBI's taxonomy places the organism in Eukaryota, Metazoa, Chordata, Aves, Passeriformes, Paridae.